Molecule: ribosomal RNA, 1428 nt
Filed under: Staphylococcus aureus
Lineage: Bacteria; Bacillati; Bacillota; Bacilli; Caryophanales; Staphylococcaceae
Description: bacterial SSU rRNA
Rfam family: Bacterial small subunit ribosomal RNA
Source: RNAcentral
AUCCUGGCUCAGGAUGAACGCUGGCGGCGUGCCUAAUACAUGCAAGUCGAGCGAACGGACGAGAAGCUUGCUUCUCUGAUGUUAGCGGCGGACGGGUGAGUAACACGUGGAUAACCUACCUAUAAGACUGGGAUAACUUCGGGAAACCGGAGCUAAUACCGGAUAAUAUUUUGAACCGCAUGGUUCAAAAGUGAAAGACGGUCUUGCUGUCACUUAUAGAUGGAUCCGCGCUGCAUUAGCUAGUUGGUAAGGUAACGGCUUACCAAGGCAACGAUGCAUAGCCGACCUGAGAGGGUGAUCGGCCACACUGGAACUGAGACACGGUCCAGACUCCUACGGGAGGCAGCAGUAGGGAAUCUUCCGCAAUGGGCGAAAGCCUGACGGAGCAACGCCGCGUGAGUGAUGAAGGUCUUCGGAUCGUAAAACUCUGUUAUUAGGGAAGAACAUAUGUGUAAGUAACUGUGCACAUCUUGACGGUACCUAAUCAGAAAGCCACGGCUAACUACGUGCCAGCAGCCGCGGUAAUACGUAGGUGGCAAGCGUUAUCCGGAAUUAUUGGGCGUAAAGCGCGCGUAGGCGGUUUUUUAAGUCUGAUGUGAAAGCCCACGGCUCAACCGUGGAGGGUCAUUGGAAACUGGAAAACUUGAGUGCAGAAGAGGAAAGUGGAAUUCCAUGUGUAGCGGUGAAAUGCGCAGAGAUAUGGAGGAACACCAGUGGCGAAGGCGACUUUCUGGUCUGUAACUGACGCUGAUGUGCGAAAGCGUGGGGAUCAAACAGGAUUAGAUACCCUGGUAGUCCACGCCGUAAACGAUGAGUGCUAAGUGUUAGGGGGUUUCCGCCCCUUAGUGCUGCAGCUAACGCAUUAAGCACUCCGCCUGGGGAGUACGACCGCAAGGUUGAAACUCAAAGGAAUUGACGGGGACCCGCACAAGCGGUGGAGCAUGUGGUUUAAUUCGAAGCAACGCGAAGAACCUUACCAAAUCUUGACAUCCUUUGACAACUCUAGAGAUAGAGCCUUCCCCUUCGGGGGACAAAGUGACAGGUGGUGCAUGGUUGUCGUCAGCUCGUGUCGUGAGAUGUUGGGUUAAGUCCCGCAACGAGCGCAACCCUUAAGCUUAGUUGCCAUCAUUAAGUUGGGCACUCUAAGUUGACUGCCGGUGACAAACCGGAGGAAGGUGGGGAUGACGUCAAAUCAUCAUGCCCCUUAUGAUUUGGGCUACACACGUGCUACAAUGGACAAUACAAAGGGCAGCGAAACCGCGAGGUCAAGCAAAUCCCAUAAAGUUGUUCUCAGUUCGGAUUGUAGUCUGCAACUCGACUACAUGAAGCUGGAAUCGCUAGUAAUCGUAGAUCAGCAUGCUACGGUGAAUACGUUCCCGGGUCUUGUACACACCGCCCGUCACACCACGAGAGUUUGUAACACCCGAA